RNAcentral lists this unclassified non-coding RNA (539 nucleotides) under Hevea brasiliensis (rubber tree). The record is from RNAcentral. Lineage: Eukaryota; Viridiplantae; Streptophyta; Magnoliopsida; Malpighiales; Euphorbiaceae.
GGUGCAAAACUCGCACUCCUCCAGAUUCUCAUUCCUAAAGAGAAUAAAAAAAAAGAAAAAAGCUUGGCUAUAUAACUGGUGCAUGGCAGCCAUAUCAAUUGACAGAAACUGUGAAAGACGUGUUGCUCACAAAUUCCCUUGAAUGCUUAUAUCAAAACAGUGAACCACAUGAAGAAGUAAAGAAGAAAAUAACGUGUCAUUCACCAAAAUAGCUGAAUCAAUUCAGGGAAUUAUGUGAUCUCAAUUUAGCCUUGCAGAUUUGGAGAAUAAUUUAUGAGUUUUGAGUGAAGGAAAAAUCAAGGGAGAGUUAAGAGUUAUAUGGAAAGAGGAGUCGCAUUCUUUUGGAUUCUUGGAAGGACAAUAUUUGGAGAAUUUUCUCUGCUGUGCACUAACAGAAGGAUUAACUACCUAUAAUGCAAGUUCCAUACCCAUUUGCAUUGUAUCUGGAAAAGCAUAAGAAUUUAGAAAACAUCAAUCAAGUCAAUCUUCUUCAUCAAUCAAUUAAUCAAUCAAUCAUGCUAACAUAUACGCAGUAGAAU